GACGUAGGAGGCGAGCGUUGUCCGGAUUCAUUGGGCGUAAAGAGCUCGUAGGCGGUUUGUCGCGUCUGCCGUGAAAGUCCGGGGCUCAACUCCGGAUCUGCGGUGGGUACGGGCAGACUAGAGUGAUGUAGGGGAGACUGGAAUUCCUGGUGUAGCGGUGAAAUGCGCAGAUAUCAGGAGGAACACCGAUGGCGAAGGCAGGUCUCUGGGCAUUAACUGACGCUGAGGAGCGAAAGCAUGGGGAGCGAACAGG
This 253-nucleotide ribosomal RNA is filed under the name uncultured bacterium. RNAcentral describes it as "partial 16S ribosomal RNA". It matches the Rfam family "Bacterial small subunit ribosomal RNA", at positions 524 to 776 of the family's 1533-position model. The record is from RNAcentral.